RNAcentral lists this ribosomal RNA (253 nucleotides) under uncultured bacterium. RNAcentral describes it as "partial 16S ribosomal RNA". It matches the Rfam family "Bacterial small subunit ribosomal RNA", at positions 524 to 776 of the family's 1533-position model. The record is from RNAcentral.
UACAGAGGGUGCAAGCGUUAAUCGGAAUUACUGGGCGUAAAGCGUGCGCAGUCGGUUAUUUAAGUCGGAUGUGAAAUCCCCGGGCUCAACCUGGGAAUUGCAUUCGAUACUGGAUGGCUAGAGUUCGGCAGAGGGAAGUGGAAUUCCACGUGUAGCAGUGAAAUGCGUAGAGAUCCGGAAGAACACCAAAGGCGAAGGCACCAUCCUGGGGAGUCACUGACGCUCGGGUGCGAAAGCUAGGGGAGCGAACGGG